RNAcentral lists this long non-coding RNA (7511 nucleotides) under Lactuca sativa (garden lettuce). RNAcentral describes it as "long non-coding RNA (LSAT_LNC010011)". Lineage: Eukaryota; Viridiplantae; Streptophyta; Magnoliopsida; Asterales; Asteraceae. The record is from RNAcentral.
UUUGCUCAUCAUGGGGCUCACCCACGUACACUGGGCAUAUGUGGGAAUACAUUGGGCGUACGUAUGCAUUGGGCAAACCCUAAUUUUUAGGGUUUGCACACUAUUUAAAUAACUUAAACCACCUCUUGGACAUUUAUUAACCAGCCUCCAUCUCUUUAUACCUUGAAAACGAAAACGUAAGUGCAUUUGGUGAGAUUUGAGCUUGAAAGUGAGUUUGUUGGUGUUUUGUGGUUAAGAAGAAGAACAAGAACACUUGUAGGAAUAGCUUGAGCUUUUAGAUCCAUAGUUACUUCAACCUUUUCAAGCCUUUGAGGUAAAAAGCUCACACCUUGAUGGUCAUUUGUGCUAGAUCUAUUUUAUGAUGUUAUUUAUGUUGGAUUAGUGUCUAAGUCCAUAACUAUUUUGGUAUGUACUUGACCCAAUGGUGCAUGGUCCUUUUGGGUUGCCUUCACCAAAGCAACUUGAUUGGAGAAAUAAAUAGAAAGAGAGGUUAUUAUGAUUUAUUAAUAUGUUAUAAGGAUAAUAUAUUAAAGGAGAAAUCAUAUUUGUUUAAUUAAUAUUGGUCAAUAAUUAAUUAAGAAUUAAUUUUGUGAUCAAGUGUAAUUAAUUAAACUAGAGGGGCUGAAUUGUAAUUAUGUGAUAGUUACAAAAUAAGGUAAGAAUUAUCUUAUAAGUAUGGUGGACGAAUUUAAGGUUGGAAAGCCUUAGAAUUCGAGUAUGAUAAGGAUUCAAGGAUUAUCUUAUUAGUUGCUUAAUGGAUAAUCAACUAGAUAAGGAUAAUGACUGAAACCCUAUCUCUACACCUAUAUAAACACCCCUAGGGUCAUGAAUUCGUGUAUCCCUUCCCAAGAAGUCCCAAAUACGAAUUCUAACCUCCCUCCUCUCUCUUUAUACCUUCUCCACUUGCUUAUGGUGUUUGUAAGCCAUUAGAGGAGUGACACUUGUGACUCUAAGCCUUCCAAGGUCAAUUCAAGGAGGAAUUGGAUUGUUAUUGCUAUAUAACAAUCAAGGUAUGUUCUUAAACCUAUUUACAUGUGAAUUCUGAUUUCCAUAUGCUAGAAUUAGGGUUCAAAGUCUUGGAUUCAAAGUAUGUACAAUAGAGAAACCUAGAUCCGAGCUUUAGGGUUUGUAUGAGCACAUAGGAUGUCUUAUGACCAAAACCCAUCAGUGGUAUCAGAGCCUUGAUUGGUUUCUAUUGUAUUGAUGCUUGAUGUAACUGAAAAUCGUGUUUUGGCCUCACUGUUCGACCUGACUCGGCGAGUCACUCUUGGACUCGGCGAGUCAGCCCUACUCGGCGAGUUCCAGAGGGUGACUCGGCGAGUCGGUGCGUCAGACAGUGCUUAUCUCGGGAUUUCUUGCUGUUUUUGCAUUGGGAUAAUUACCUUAUCAUGUUAGAUUAAUAUUAAUCCGAUUAUAUGAUAUAUUUGACUAUAAUUUUAAUCUAAUUGAAGAUAUUUAUCAAUUAAUAGGAUAAUUGUUUCCUUAUAAGAUAAUUGAUUAAUUAUUUUAAGUAAAUUGAUAAAUUAUUUUGCAAGAAAUCAUCAAAUAUGGAUAAUUAUGUGAUUAAAUGUUAAUUUGAAUUAUUUGUUAUUUGAUCCUUGUUGUUGUGAAAAGUUUCAUAUUUGGCCCUUUAGGUUUUAUAGUUUAAAUUUGAACCCCAAAAGUUUUGUUGUUUUGAAAUUUAAAUAGUUGAAACCCUAAUGUUUUGAAAAAGGUUUCAAAACUUGCCCUCAAGUUUUGGAAUUUAAAUUUUGAUUAAAUAGUUUAAUUUUGAUGCAUAUUUAAAUUCUAAACCCUAAUGUGUUGAAAUGUUUCAAAACUUGCCCUCAAGUUUUGGAAUUUAAAAGUUGAUUAAAAGUUUAAUUAGGAAUGUUAAAUUCUAAAACUCUAGUAUAGUUUUGAAAAAGUUCAAAUCACACCCUUAUGGUUUUAUUAAUUAAUUAAGGUGUAUAAUUAAAAGAGGUUUAAUAAAUCCAUAAAAGUUUAGGUUUACAAUUUAAUUGAAUUAAAAGUAUAAUUGUUAAAUUAGACCACCUAGUAUUUUAAAAGUAUAAAAUACACCCUAUACUAUAUAUAACAUUAAAAGUCUAACAUUAUAUAUAUGUAUGAGUAAAAGUCAGUCUUACCGUUAGUAGGCCUCAUUCACGAAGCUGGUCUAUAAGGGGUGUUUAAGGAAAUUGCCUAUAAAAUGGCGAUUGAAUGGGUAUCCACUCUUACCCACCGCACUCUUGACUAGUGGAGGGUCGUUAGCCGAACGGGUAGGAUAGGACGAAACCUUCCAUUAUAAGUAUAAUGAAUUAUUAAAGUAACUAAAUGUUUUCAUAAAAUUCCCAAUCUUAGUUACUUAGGCAAAAGUGAAUUGAUGCAAUUCCAUGAAAUUACACUUUGUGCCCUUGCGAAGACGUUAGUGGAGCGUGUGUGGUUAACCGGCACACUAAAUGGUUCUAAGCAAAGGUAGCAAAGGGUGACUCAAUGUUUGUCAUAGUUCGGUGGAGCGUGUGUGGUUUACCGGCACAUCGAAUAGGUGACUGUAACAUGUGAGGGCACCAUGUAAGUUUGCAUGGUUAUUCACACCCGCUUUGUGAUCCUCGGCAUCCCAGUCACAAACAAGAGGGGCAUAUCGAGAUUUAAACAUGCCAUUGAAAGUUCAAUGAAUCUCAAAGGAUCUAGGAGUUUUCAUAGAUUUAAAACUUAAAUUUCUUUUUCGUUUUUCAUGGUGGAAAUUAGUGAAUCGUCAUUCACUUACCUUCAAAUAUUCUGCAAUUAGGGUUACGGCAUCCCUCUCCCGAGUUGUAGAAUAUUGUGUUGGGUCCUAGCCUUAGUAUCUCAUUUGGGUGAUUUACUAAGGACUCAAUCAAUCAACUAACUUGAAUUCGUUUUCUCCCGUUUUGUAGAUGUCAAAGUUCGACAACUAUGGUCUUCCCAAAUCCCGUGGAACAAGCAUUCCACAUGAAGAUGAUAUUCCACGAUUCGAUCGAGGAACAAGAAAUCAUGCUUCACUUCCUCCUCCUCCUCCAAUUAUUCUCCCUAACCCACAAGUUCAAAGGCUUGAAAAGUUCAAGAUCACUCAAGCCCUUUUGGCAAGUAAACAUAAAGAAGGAAAGUCGGUGUGUGCACACGUCCUAGGGAUGAAGUCACACAUUGAUAGGUUAAGAAUGUUGGGAUCCGUUGUCUGUGAGGAAAUGGCUGUUGAUUGGGUUCUUCAGUCACUUCCUAACUCAUAUAGUGAGUUCGUAAGAGAGUACUAUAUGAUGAACCGCGACGUGACCCUUAUAGAUCUCACCUAUAUGCUUAUUGCUGCUGAAUCAGCAAUGGUUUGGCGCAAUAGAAAAGCAAAGUUGAUUGGUGAAUCUGCCUUCAAGACCUCUAUGGAUAUAGACAAUGGCAACGAAAGACAUGCUAUGAUCGAAAAGUUUGAUCAUAAGAGAAAGGCAAUGUCUGAAGUAGUUCCAUGUCAUGUUCCAAAAGAGUCAAUUUGCUUUUAUUGCCAAGAGAAAGGGCAUUGGAGACGAAGCUGCCCCAUUUACCUAAGAGAUCUAAGAGAUGGGAGAGUCGAAACGUAUGGCUCUAAUAUAGGUAAAAUCCAUUAACUAACUCUUUUAAGCUUCUAUUCUAGAUUCUUAAUACAUAAUGUGAUAAGAUUACAAUUGAUGUUUUGUAGGAUCGAAGAAAAGAAAGGAAGCUUAAGGGAAGAAGUGAGCAGAAUCUAACCGUGAAGGAAUGGAUUUCGAUCGCAUUUCUCGAAGAUUAGAUUCUUGAGCUACUACUUAGAGUUAGAAUUAGAUUGCUAAGAAAGAUGUAUUAGCAUAGUUUUUCAAUGAAUUGCAUUGUAAGGACAAAUUUUUUCCGCAAUAAAAUAAAUUUUGAUUUUAUAUUAUUUAUUUAUCCUUGCAAUGGCGUAUAUGAAAAAUUGAUGUUUGAAUGUUUCUAUUAUUAGCAAUAAUGGAUUUGGUUCUUAUUAUGUUAUUUAUGGAAAGUCGAGAAUUUACCAAAUAGGGAGAGUUUCUCAUCGCCCAAGUUUCAAUUGGACAGAAACUUGGAAUCAUGCAACUUGGUUGCACGAUGAAUGAGAAAUUUCAUAUUUGGAAAUUAGACUAAUUCAUUGACAAAGUGUCAAGUGAAGGACUAGGAGAUCGAGUACACAAAGUUGCGUGUUGAUCAAGUCCACCAUAAGAGUAACAAAGAUAUUCGUCAUGAUUUACUAAAGGUUUAGUAAAUAUGAUUAUACUUACAAGAUUAAGUGUAAUUCUGAAUUGAUUGAAAAAGUUUAAAUCAAUAGCAGAACGAAUAAGAAGAAUCAAGUAGGCAGAAAGAUAAAAGUUUCUCCAUUCUAAGAAGAAGGGAGAGUACCUUUUAUGCUUUAUGAUAGGUCUUAAUGAUUAAGAACCAUAUCUCAAUUGAUCCUCUAAGUGAGUCUUAGUACAAUUGUAUGUCUAAGAAGAGGAAUCAAGAAUUGAAGAAAUGGUUAAAUCAAGAAGUCAAUCAUACUUCGUUCCAAAACAAGUCUUAGAGUUAAGAUUGUGACAUUGAGUGAUAAGUAUUAAGAAGGUUUAUAACAUUCAUCAAAUGUGGAAAGUUGUGAUGUCUUGGAUAAGACAAAGACCAACUAGGACCAAUUUAUGAAGUGUUUUGAUAAAAGCUACACUAACUCUUGAAUAUUUGUUUGUCAAGAAAUGUUUAUUGACAAGAGAAUCUUAUAUGUCAAGGAGUCAGUGGGAGUCUUAAUGGUCUUGAAAGGUUUCAAGAACAAAUCAAAUAAACCUUAUCGAUCAUCACUAGCACACGAGUUGAGGUUUACAACCUAUCGUGUUGACAUUAUUUUGUUUCUGUGCCAAUCCAAUCGAGUUAAUUAUGCAUGUGAGUUCUAUGAGUUCUCAUUUUGAACGCAUAAAAGGCAAAGCACCUUAAUCAAUGAAAGGUACAUUGAUAGGAAAGGGUGAGCUGCUUAACUACUUGGAAGACAUGGUGGGCAGCUGUGCUACCAUAAGGCAAGAAAUCAAGAUUAAGAAAGUUCGGUCCAUAUGAGUUUGAAUUUGUCGUAAACUUUGGUUUUAACAAAUUCACAUGGAUAGGAACACAUACACCGUUUAAAUCUAAGUGUCAUAAGAUUUCCUCCUUCAUGAAAAUGAUUGUGAGGAAAUGCUUUCACUAAGAAAGAUUUUAAGAAGAUAGUGAUUGUAAAAUUGCAUUCUCGAAUUCGAUUAUGGUUACGGUAUCCCUUUCCAUAAUUUGAAUUGUGAGGUUUGGCAAUUAGUCUUAAUUGUUUAGACACACAUAUGAACUAUCGAAGGCAAAGGUGUAUAAGUUCAAGAAGCCUUGAUAAAAGAUUAUCAAAGCACUAAGUAUUAGAAACAUGAACUUAAGAAAUUCAAUAAGUAUUGUUUUUCUGAAAGUUAAGAUGUUUAUGAAUACAUGUCGAAGCUAGUGGGAGCAUAAGUGUUAUGUUUUAUAAUAAUCAUCAUGAUAGUGGGAGCAUAAAUGUUAUGAUUGUAUGAUUAUUAAGGAAAGUAUUGCAAGUUGGCAAUAUUAAUUAUAGAAAACAAGAGUUAUACCUUGCAAAGUCGUAAGGGUUGUAAAGUUGUUUUGCUAUAAUUAAGGGAGAGAAUAUUAUGCUUCAUUUCAAAUCUAAAGGAUUAGGUUGAGAAAUGUUAAUAAAUUUAGUCAAAGGUACAUAGUGUGUUCUUAAAAUUUCGAUUAUGAUUACGGCAUUCCUCUUCACAAUUCGAAUUUUGAGAACAUAGCAAAUAAAACAUUAUGCGUCGUGUCCCAUACGCUUCGGGUAUAGGAUCGAUUGCAAAUGCUUUAAUGUUUGACCAUUCUAAAAUUUUCCAAAUGUCGAGCGCAUUUAGAGGGAAAAGGGACUAGAAUUGGUUUUGACUAAAAUAAUUAAACAACUAUCAAAGGACAAUCCAAAGUUCGACGAGGAUUGGUCGCUUGUGAGUAGUUGGAAGUAUAGUAUUGGAAAAUAUGGAAAUGUUUCCAUAUUGGAUGGACCAUAUCGACAUCAUUACGAAUAGAUAAGAUUCUAUUAAGAAUGAGUUGUCAUAUGGAACAUAUGGAAGUGUGUCCAUAUUGGGAAUUGAAUAUUGAGAAAUCUAUGACUAGAUUAGAAACUUCUAUGCAAAAGGAUGUUCAAAGAAUGUACUUUGAGUGAGAGACAUCACGUCUAUGGAAUUGUCUUGUAACAAUCUCCGAUAGAGGACUUUGUAAUAUCAUUGGCAAUAGUCUUUGUGACUUUGGUGCAGUGACAUUACGAAAGGAUAGUUGCAUAGAAUGUUAGAAUCUAGCAUAUUCUAUAAGUAGCAAGAAUUUGAUAUUCUUUGACUUAUGAAAAACGGAUUUGGAGUUGUGAAAUGAGAAGGAUUGGAAAUGUGUUCAAUGUGAUCUAUUUCACAAAGUAAGAACCAUAGGUAAACAUUGUGUGCAUGCUAGGAGCAUGGGACAAGUGUUGGAAUUCAAGUAAGAAGUUGAUUACCCGAAACGACAAAUAAUGAGUAAUCAAUAUGGUGAUAAAUAAAAGGUGUUUUAUUUAUACUCAAAGGUUUGAGGCCAUAUGGGAUUAGUAUUAUUCUUGUGUUUCACAUUUGCAUGUUUUGACUUCCAGAAUAAUUGAGUUUAUUAAGAAUAAUCGAAUUAUUCAAACGGGCCACAGUCGUUCAUAUGUUGGAAGUAGAUAUGAAUGAAGACUGUCGUGAAUUGGUGUGUGGAUUGUCUAAAAGAGUAUUAGACAUAAGCAAAUGUUUGCUGCAACGUUCAUGAGUGCUUAUGAAUAUGAUUUGAGCAUUGGAUUAAACCCACGCUCACUUGGAUCACUCCAUGAAUUGUAUCACGAGUGAUUGGUGAGACGAUAACAUCUUAUAUUCUUGAAACCGAGAUGUGUGAGUUGUAUCUUGCAAAUCGGUUGCACAUUGAUAAUAUGUAAACGCACUAGUAACUUGGUGUUAUAAAACAUAUUGUUGUGUGUGAUUCGGUGAGUGAGUGCAAGCAAGCAUUGUAUCAAAGUUUAUCCGUUCCUUUUAUCCAAAGUAGGAUAAAAGCGAUAUCUUUGGGCCCCUCGAUGGUUUAGUGAUGACAAACGUAAAUGCUCGGCCGGGCUAGGGCUAAUUUGAUUUGUUCAAUUAGUCAGUCGUCAUAAAUCGGAAAUCGAGAUAUAGUACAAAGAGAAUGAUUUGAAAUCAUAUCUCAUAUGAUAUCUAGAAUGGAGGAAUAUAUGAUCCCUUAUCUAAGGACACGCGUAUCUGAUAUGAUCAGAGUUGACAGCGGCUUUGGAAAGCUACGAUUGCAGAUCGGGAUCCGAAGUCAUACGCAGAAUAGUUGUUAGACUUAUCCAAGUGGGAGACUGUUGGAUUAGUGUCUAAGUCCAUAACUAUUUUGGUAUGUACUUGACCCGAUGGUGCAUGGUCCUUUUGGGUUGCCUUCACCAAAGCAACUUGAUUGGAGAAAUAAAUAGAAAGAGAGGUUAUUAUGAUUUAUUAAUAUGUUAUAAGGAUAAUAUAUUAAAGGAGAAAUCA